Molecule: ribosomal RNA, 1351 nt
Filed under: uncultured bacterium
Lineage: Bacteria
Description: partial 16S ribosomal RNA
Rfam family: Bacterial small subunit ribosomal RNA
Source: RNAcentral
AAGCCGACGAUCUGUAGCUGGUCUGAGAGGACGACCAGCCACACUGGGACUGAGACACGGCCCAGACUCCUACGGGAGGCAGCAGUGGGGAAUUUUGGACAAUGGGCGCAAGCCUGAUCCAGCCAUGCCGCGUGCAGGAUGAAGGCCCUCGGGUUGUAAACUGCUUUUGUACGGAACGAAAAGACUCUGGUUAAUACCUGGGGUCCAUGACGGUACCGUAAGAAUAAGCACCGGCUAACUACGUGCCAGCAGCCGCGGUAAUACGUAGGGUGCGAGCGUUAAUCGGAAUUACUGGGCGUAAAGCGUGCGCAGGCGGUUAUGUAAGACAGAUGUGAAAUCCCCGGGCUCAACCUGGGAACUGCAUUUGUGACUGUAUAGCUAGAGUACAGCAGAGGGGGAUGGAAUUCCGCGUGUAGCAGUGAAAUGCGUAGAUAUGCGGAGGAACACCGAUGNGCNGNANANGGCNANNAUCCCCUGGGCCUGUACUGACGCUCAUGCACGAAAGCGUGGGGAGCAAACAGGAUUAGAUACCCUGGUAGUCCACGCCGUAAACGAUGUCGACUUGGAGGUUGUGCCCUUGAGGCGUGGCUUCCGGAGCUAACGCGUUAAGUCGACCGCCUGGGGANNGNUNACGGCCGNNCAAGGUUAAAACUCAAAUGAAUUGACGGGGGCCCGCACAAGCGGUGGAGCAUGUGGUUUAAUUCGAUGCAACGCGAAGAACCCUACCUACUCUUGACAUCCAGAGAACUUUCCAGAGAUGGAUUGGUGCCUUCGGGAACUCUGAGACAGGUGCUGCAUGGCUGUCGUCAGCUCGUGUUGUGAAAUGUUGGGUUAAGUCCCGCAACGAGCGCAACCCUUAUCCUUUGUUGCCAGCGGUCCGGCCGGGAACUCAAAGGAGACUGCCAGUGAUAAACUGGAGGAAGGGUGGGGAUGACGUCAAGUCAUCAUGGCCCUUACGAGUAGGGCUACACACGUGCUACAAUGGCGCAUACAAAGAGAAGCGACCUCGCGAGAGCAAGCGGACCUCAUAAAGUGCGUCGUAGUCCGGAUUGGAGUCUGCAACUCGACUCCAUGAAGUCGGAAUCGCUAGUAAUCGUGGAUCAGAAUGCCACGGUGAAUACGUUCCCGGGCCCUUGUACACACCGCCCGUCACACCAUGGGAGUGGGUUGCAAAAGAAGUAGUAGCUUAACCCUUCGGGAGGGCCGCUUACCACUUUGUGAUUCAUGACUGGGGGUGAAGUCGUAACAAGGUAACCAUAGAGUCUGAUCCUGCCUCAGUAGUCGUACAGGUACCAUAGAGUUUGAUCCUGCGACGGUGAGUAUGCCUAGGUGAGUCGUACAGUACAUCGAC